RNAcentral lists this ribosomal RNA (445 nucleotides) under uncultured bacterium. RNAcentral describes it as "SSU rRNA". It matches the Rfam family "Bacterial small subunit ribosomal RNA", at positions 26 to 518 of the family's 1533-position model. The record is from RNAcentral.
AGAACGAACGCUGGCGGCAGGCCUCAAACAUGCAAGUCUAGGGGGUGUAGCAAUACAUCACCGGCGGACGGGUGCGUAACGCGUGGGAAUAUACCUAUUGGUUCGGAACAACUGAGGGAAACUUCAGCUAAUACCGAAUGUGUCCUAACGGAGAAAGAUUUAUCGCCAAUAGAUUAGCCCGCGUUCGAUUAGCUAGUUGGUGGGGUAACGGCCCACCAAGGCGACGAUCGAUAGCUGUUCUGAGAGGAAGAUCAGCCACACUGGGACUGAGACACGGCCCAGACUCCUACGGGAGGCAGCAGUUGGGAAUCUGGACAAUGGGGAAACCCUGAUCCAGCCAUGCCGCGUGAGUGAUGAAGGCCUUGGGUUGUAAAACUCUUUCGCGCACGACGAUAAUGACGGUAGUGCGAGAAGAAGCUCCGGCUAACUUCGUGCCAGCAGCCGC